UAAACUGCCUACCUCAGAUAA
Caenorhabditis elegans is the source of this 21-nucleotide non-coding RNA. Lineage: Eukaryota; Metazoa; Nematoda; Chromadorea; Rhabditida; Rhabditidae. The record is from Ensembl.